GCUCGACGGAUGGAUGCAUUUCCUUCGACCCGCGCUCCACAGGUACUGCCACAGAUUGGGACAAUGCCAGGUUCACAGCACAAACUGUUCAGUAGAGCUCCUUUCAGGGUUGAAAUCCUGCGGGAGCUCCAAUGAUUUAGAGAGGGGAAUCGCGCCAUCCAAAGCGGGGUUUGCUCCAAUCCCUACACUUCUUGCAGCUUGAUUGGCAUGUAUGGGAGGUGUGGCAGCCUGGUUGAGGCGAGGAGGUGUUUGACAGGAUGCCUUGCCACAAUGUAGAACGCUUUCAUCUUGGGACACGCAGAGAACUGGAAGCCUUCUCAUGCCAGGGCUCUGCACCUGGAUUCCCCUGCAUCUUCGCGGCCAUCAAGGCUUGCUCGGCUCUAGCGGCUGAGACUCAUUGGUGGGAAGAUGAUCAAACUGAAAGCUCUGGAACAAGGCAUGAGAAUCCCCUGCCGAGCUAAGUUUUGGAAGUGACGAGCCCGAGGUCUUCAAGCUCGGACAGCUACAGGAGGUUUAACGAGCUCUUGAGUAGCUGCCACAGCACCCAGACGCUCGUCUCUGGGAAGCUCACAAGCUACUUUUUGGUGUUUUUUGACACAACUACUUGCAACUUUGUAACUGUAUUCAUCUCUUUUCAAGGAAACCACAGGGUAGCUUUGUGUAGAUCCUCCGGUUUUGCCACUGCCAAAGUGUAAACUUCCAUCUAACGUUGUUCUCAUGGCAUUGCAAAAACAAAAAGAAGUUAGAGAAACCAUAAAGAAAACUAUAGAGAACAUAGACCUGGAAGGUUGAAGCCUCUAGCCCUUUUGGGCGUUGUCCAGUUCGUUGAACAUACAUUUUGGUUAGAAUAAACAGUUCACGAACCGAUGUCCGUUUCGUUGAACAGCAAACAGAACAAACAGUAUACGAGUGAGCGUCUUUCACGCUAUGAUCACUGUGCUUUCAUGGAGUUUUCAUGGUCAUUGAGGUUGGACCAUUGUCAUGUACGUCUUCAGCUGGAUUGAGGUUCUGAAGAUCGCAAGCGAC
Molecule: long non-coding RNA, 1026 nt
Filed under: Selaginella moellendorffii
Lineage: Eukaryota; Viridiplantae; Streptophyta; Lycopodiopsida; Selaginellales; Selaginellaceae
Description: long non-coding RNA (SMOE_LNC001456)
Source: RNAcentral